Molecule: ribosomal RNA, 451 nt
Filed under: uncultured bacterium
Lineage: Bacteria
Description: bacterial SSU rRNA
Rfam family: Bacterial small subunit ribosomal RNA
Source: RNAcentral
GUGGGGAAUAUUGCGCAAUGGGGGAAACCCUGACGCAGCAACGCCGCGUGAGUGAUGAAGGCCUUCGGGUCGUAAAGCUCUGUCAGGUGGGAAGAACAAGGAAAUCCCCAAUAAGGUUUUCCUUUGACGGUACCACCAGAGGAAGCACCGGCUAACUCCGUGCCAGCAGCCGCGGUAAUACGGAGGGUGCGAGCGUUGUUCGGAAUUACUGGGCGUAAAGCGCGUGUAGGCGGCCUAUUAAGUCAGAUGUGAAAGCCCUUGGCUCAACCAAGGAAUUGCAUUUGAAACUGGUUGGCUUGAGUACGGGAGAGGAGAGUGGAAUUCCCGGUGUAGAGGUGAAAUUCGUAGAUAUCGGGAAGAACACCGGUGGCGAAGGCGGCUCUCUGGACCGAUACUGACGCUGAGACGCGAAAGCGUGGGGAGCAAACAGGAUUAGAUACCCCAGUAGUCC